This 6108-nucleotide long non-coding RNA is filed under the name Cicer arietinum (chickpea). RNAcentral describes it as "long non-coding RNA (CARI_LNC001437)". Lineage: Eukaryota; Viridiplantae; Streptophyta; Magnoliopsida; Fabales; Fabaceae. The record is from RNAcentral.
UCGGUAAUUGGUACUUUGGCCUGCGAUAGGCGGUACAAUUAUGAUUUACGGCCCUUCGAGGAGGGUUUUGGUUUGGAAUUCCGAGUCCAUGCAUUUUGGCAUAUACGCAUUGCAUUAGGGUGCCUGGCACGCGAGUCAUGUUUGAUUUGAGUUUAUGAUUGAGUGAUUCGAAUUUUGAUUUAUCGUGAUAACUGAGAUGAAGGUGUUAAGUGUUAUGUGUUGUUUAUUGUGCGUAAGUAUGAUGGUUAUCGAACCUUUGUGUGUCGUAGUAAUCGCGUAGAAAUUGCUAAGUGUUAAGUCGUGAACUUGAUUAGGAAUGACUUGAGUAAAUGCAUGAAUUUUUGGAAAAACGAUCAAGGAAAUCGAUUUCCCAAUCGAUUGGAUGGAAGUCAAGGGCNNNNNNNNNNNNNNNNNNNNNNNNNNNNNNNNNNNNNNNNNNNNNNNNNNNNNNNNNNNNNNNNNUGUGUUUUAUUCUAAUUCCUUUUGAAAAAAAAUACACCCUCGCUUUGGAAAACGGGGUGUUACAUUGUGGUAUCAGAGCUUUGGUUUGGUUUUCUUUGGGGGCUGUGGAACCUUGGUUCUAGAUUGUAGGUUACGAGUUGUUGUCUGAUCAUGUGUCGGUUUAGGUGGUUUGAGUUGUCAAGUUCAUAAUAAUUAUUAUGUGCGGUUGUGGUCGGAAGUUAUUCUUAGAAUUAUUGAAGUAGUGUUAAGACUUUACUUGAUGAUGGUUUUAUAGGGAAACCAUGCUGCCAAGGAGGAAUGACGUUCCGAGAGCCAAUGUCAAUAAGAAUGACCGAAUGGCGGAGGCUAUGAAUAACCUGGCUGCUUCUGUUGCUGCACAGACUGCUGCCAAGACUCAACGUGAUCUCGAAAAGAGGGGAAGAGAGAUCCGUGCUGCGGAGUCAAGAGGAUUAAAAGACUUUCGUCGUUACAAUCCUCCCAAGUUUGAGGGGACUGAGAAUUCAGAGAAAGCAAAUCAAUGGAUCCAAGAAGUGGAGAAGAUCUUCGAAAUGAUUAACUGUCAGGCGGGAGUGAGGGUCAACUAUGCCACUUAUAUGCUACUAGGAGAUGCUGAGUACUGGUGGAGGAGUACAAGGUUGUUGAUGAGAUCAGCUCACGAGGAGGUGAACUGGGAAUCUUUCAAAGGGAAGUUUUUCGACAAAUACUUCCCGAUGAGUACCAGGACUAGACUGGGUGAUGAUUUCCUGAAACUACAUCAGGGGAACAUGACCGUGGGCGAAUAUGCUGCUAAGUUUGAAUCACUAUCAAGGCAUUUCAGAUUUUUCCGUGAAGAGGUUGACGAGCCAUUCUUGUGUCAUCGUUUCCAAGACGGACUAAAGUAUGAGAUUCAAGAGUUUGUCUUACCCUUGGGAAUUCAACGUUUCCAGGUUCUUGUGGAAAAAUGUAGAGAAGUUGAGGAGAUGAAGAAUAAGAGAGCUAGCCGAGGAGGGAAUUUUAACUCAGGAGGACCUAGUCGGGCGAAGUAUCAGAACAAGGGAAAACAGGUUGCUAAAUUUUAUAAUCGACCACAUGAUAACAAUGGGGGACGGGAUAACCCAGGGAACCAAGACCUUGAGAAGCAAGUGGGACAAGGCAUACGAUGUUUCCGAUGUGGAGAAGAAGGACAUUAUGCUUAUGCUUGUACCUUUGACAGUACUACUUGCUACAAUUGCCAUAAACCAGGGCACUUUGCAAGGAAUUGCGAGGCUCCGAAGGUGGAACCAAUGGUGGAUGUAGCUAGGAUUACUCUUCCUACUGCUAGAGGACAGGUGUAUUGCGUCGGCGCUGAUUUAUCUAGCGAUCUGAUUCAAUAUGACUGUGCGAUUACAGGUAACCUCUUAACUACACUUUCUGAUUCGGGGGCAACCCAUUCCUUCAUUGCUAUGGAUUAUGUAAAUUGUUUGAAGUUGUCCGUGUCUACUUUACUGCUAAGACUUUGACAGUAAAUUAUGCAUGUUUACUUGUCAAAUAACCAUUCAGAAUAGGGACUUCUCGAUUAAUUUGAGUGUUUACCUCUACAGUAACCCAAGAUCAUUCUUGAUAGGAAUGGGAAGCCCUAUCAUUGGUUAAUGAUACAUUGUACUCAAUGUGUCGGCGUCAUACUUAGUGUUUAAGUUUGGUACUAGGUAGAUGUUCCGUACAAGGUGGAACAUCAGCGACCUGCUGGGGUGUUGCAACCUUUAGAGAUUACACGGAGUACCAUCAAGCAUUUUGUCAGACCGUGAUCCGAAGUUCACAUCGCAUUUUUGGGGAGCAUUGCACGAAGCGUUGGGAACGAAGCUACGAUUGAGUUCAGCUUACCAUCCACAAACGGACGGACAGACUGAAAGGACGAAUCAGUCCUUGGAAGAUCUGUUGAGAGCAUGUGUUUUAGAUGAUAGAGGAAGUUGGGAUGAUGUACUUCCGUUGAUUGAGUUCACUUACAACAAUAGUUUCCACGCGAGCAUUGGAAUGGCACCAUAUGAGGCUUUAUAUGGGCGCAAGUGUCAAACGCCCUUGUGUUGGUAUAAAGACGGUGAGAAUAUGAUUGUCGGACCAGAGAUGGUGCAACAGACCACAGCUAAAGUAAGGAAGAUCAAGGAGAAAAUGAAGACUUCACAAGAUCGCCAGAAGAGUUACGCGGACAAGCGUCGCAGACUUUUGGAAUUCGAACAGGGUGACCAUGUAUUUCUGAGAGUCACACCUACUACUGGAGUAGGUAGAGCCUUGAAAUCGAAGAAGUUGACUCCGAAAUUCAUUGGACCAUAUCAGAUUUCUGCACGAAUUGGGCCGGUUGCUUAUCGGAUUGCAUUACCUCCGAUACUGUCCAAUAUCCAUGACGUGUUUCAUGUGUCGCAGUUGAGGAAAUAUCUCGCAGAUCCAUCUCACGUGAUCGAACCAGACACGAUCCAGCUAAAGGAUAACCUGUCGUUCGAAGUACCACCCGUGAGAAUUGAUGACAGGAAGAUUAAGCGGUUGAGGACCAAGGAUGUUUCGUUGGUCAAGGUGAUCUGGAACCCAAUUACUGGAGAUGCGACUUGGGAACUGGAGAGCAAGAUGAGGGAACAACACCCAGAGUUAUUUAUCGAUGCAUAGUUUCGAGGACGAAACUAAUUUUAGGGGGGGAGUAAUGUAAGACCCAUAAUUUUAAAGUACCCUUUUAUGUAUUUUUGGUAUAUUUUGGAUUUUGGCUCGGAGGCUUUUAAGCCAAAGUUAAUAAUAUUUUGGAGUUUUAUAAUCAAAAAGAUAUUUCGAUGCCAAUUAGAAUUUCUCGUCGAUAAAUAAAUUGAAUUUAACUGCGGAAAAUCCUUUACGGAGAAUUUAAGGCGUUUCGGGUGAAACGGUAAUUUAAUAAAUAUCUAGAUUUUGAGAUAUUUGUUAAGUUAUAUUUAUUAUAUUUAUAUAUGUUUGUUUGGAGGGAAAAAGAAAGGAAAACUAGAAGGAAGGAAAAGGAAAAGAAAAUAGUAUAUAAAGGAAGGAAGGAAAAAGGAAGAAAGGAAAAACAAAGGAAAGAAAUUGAAAGGAGAGAAAAUAGAAUUUUCCAUCUCCUUCCUCAGUCACGCAAGAAAAAACCAAAUUUCCAUCCUCCUCCAUUUUUCGUUUUCGUUGCUUCCUUUCCUUCAAAACUAGUGACCCAAGGUUGGGUGAGGGUUAGAUCAAGGUUUUCGUAACUCCACUCUUCCUCUUUGAUUCGAAAACGAAGAAAUACGGUUUUUGAGAUCCAAACACAAACCCCUCCGUUUCUCCUAGAUCCAAACCUCUUUUCUCGAAGAGAUAGAAGGGAAAGUUGCUCACCUCCGUGCUACGGUGCUAGUGCACUAAUUUGGAAGCGGCGUUGCGAGCGGAGAUUUUACCGGAAUUUCUCGCGGAACCGGAAACACUCGAUAAAGCUGACUUUGAGGUAAGGGCUCCUUCCAAACUUCUAGCUUGCAUUAGGGACUUAUCUGUAGUUGUGUGGGAAGGAAUUUGUUAGGGUUAAAUGUAUCGAUUUGGGGAAAAACGAAACUAGUGCGUUAUGGGUAAAAACCUUAGAGUUAGGUUUUGUUUAUAGUGAUGAAUGUUUCGUGGUAAAUGAAUUUGAAUGUCAUUGUGUAUGAUUAUGGGUAAAUGAAACUUGAUGUUUGUUAAUUGGUGUGGUUGUUGUGAAUUAUGGUUUGAAUGUGAAAGUAUGUUUGAAUUUGUUUCUGUGGAAUUUGAAAACCAUUAGAGUUAAACGAGUAUUAAAAAUGGGGAAUCUUUUAAUACCUCGGUUUACUUAAUGUGUAUUUGAGGAAAAUGUUUAAGUUAACUGGGCGUUGAGAAUGGGGAAUCUCUUAAUGUCUCGGUUACUUAACUAUCGUUUUUGAAAAUCGUUUCGGUAAAUGAGUAUUAAGAAUGGGGAAUCUCUUAAUAUGACUGUUUGCUUAACGUUUUGUUUUGAAAAUCAUUAAGUUAAAUCGGUAUUAAGAACGGGGAAUCUCUUAAUGACUUAUUUAAUUAAUGUUGUUUGAAAGUCGUUUCGGUAAAUGAGUAUUAAGAAUGGGGAAUCUCUUAAUAUGACUGUUUGCUUAACGUUUUGUUUUGAAAAUCAUUAAGUUAAAUCGGUAUUAAGAACGGGGAAUCUCUUAAUGACUUAUUUAAUUAAUGUUGUUUGAAAGUCGUUUAAGUUAAAUGGGUAUUAAAAAUGGGGAAUCUUUUAAUAUCUGCAUUUGCUUAACGAUUGUUGUGAAUGGAGUCUGUGUAUGCUCAUGCAUUUCAUUUGGUAAAUUGUGUCGACCCGUGAUAGGUGACACCUUGGUAAACUGUACUGACCCGUGAUAGGUUGUACGUUUACGAUUUACUAUUUAGUAAUUCGUGUUGACCCGUGAUAGGUGACACCUCGGUAAACUGUACUGACCCGUGAUAGGUUGUACGUUUACGAUUUACUAUUUAGUAAUUCGUGUUGACCCGUGAUAGGUGACACCUUGGUAAACUGUAUUGACCCGUGAUAGGUUGUACGUUUACGAUUUACUAUUUAGUAAUUCGUGUUGACCCGUGAUAGGUGACACCUCGGUAAACUGUACUGACCCGUGAUAGGUUGUACGUUUACGAUUUACUAUUUAGUAAUUCGUGUUGACCCGUGAUAGGUGACACCUCGGUAAACUGUACUGACCCGUGAUAGGUUGUACGUUUACGAUUUACUAUUUAGUAAUUCGUGUUGACCCGUGAUAGGUGACACCUCGGUAAACUGUACUGACCCGUGAUAGGUGGUACAUUUACGAUUUCCGCUUUUUCUUUUAGUAAAUCGUGUUGACCCGUGAUAGGUGACACCUUGGUAAACUGUACUGACCCGUGAUAGGUUGUACGUUUACGAUUUACUAUUUAGUAAUUCGUGUUGACCCGUGAUAGGUGACACCAUGGUAACUGUACUGACCCGUGAUAGGUGGUACGUUUACGAUUUACUUUUUGGUAAAUCGUGUUGACCCGUGAUAGGUGACACCAUGGUAACUGUACUGACCCGUGAUAGGUGGUACGUUUACGAUUUACUUUUUGGUAAAUCGUGUUGACCCGUGAUAGGUGACACCAUGGUAACUGUACUGACCCGUGAUAGGUGGUACGUUUACGAUUUACGUUUUUGGUGAAUUGUGCUGACCCGUGAUAGGUGGCACCUAGGUAAACAGUACUGGUCUGUGAUAGGCGGUACGUUUACGAUUCUCGCUUUUUCUUUUAGUAAAUCGUGUUGACCCGUGAUAGGUGACACCUCGGUAAACUGUACUGACCCGUGAUAGGUGGUACGUUUAUGAUUUAUGCAUUUUAGUAAAUCGUGCUGACCCGUGAUAGGUGGCACCUCGGUAAUUGGUACUUUGGCCUGCGAUAGGCGGUACAAUUAUGAUUUACGGCCCUUCGAGGAGGGUUUUGGUUUGGAAUUCCGAGUCCAUGCAUUUUGGCAUAUACGCAUUGCAUUAGGGUGCUUGGCACGCGAGUCGUAUUUGAUUUGAGUGUAUGAUUGAGUGAUUUGAAUUUUGAUUUAUCGUGGUAAUUGCGUUGAAAAUGCUAAGUGUUAUGUGUUGAAUUAUUGUGUGUAAGUAUGAUGGUUAUCGAGAUCCCAAUUGCCGUGGUAAUCGCGUAGGAAUUGUUAAGUGUUAGGUUGUGAACUUGAUUAGGAAUGAC